RNAcentral lists this long non-coding RNA (1137 nucleotides) under Numida meleagris (helmeted guineafowl). RNAcentral's name for it is "lncRNA (ENSNMEG00000010213.1)". Lineage: Eukaryota; Metazoa; Chordata; Aves; Galliformes; Numididae. The record is from RNAcentral.
GAGCACGGACAAGGAACGCGGGAUACUCGUGCCUUCGUUCUCCGUCUGAGGUGUGCUCCGGCUCCCAGCACAAGACUCCAGCCCGCUUUCCGCACAAACCUGUUGGCUUCGCACCUGGUUCCGAGGGGCAAGGUGCACCGUCAUUCCCCGAACACCUCGCGACCGGACGGGCUCUCGAACCGGAGGGCUUUCGAGCGGGUCGUUCGCUAUUUCCCCCCCGCGAGCCACAGAAAACACGAGGCGGAGCCGGCGGCGGAGGGGCAAGCGGCCCGCUCUCGGCGCGGUGACCCCGCGGGCACGGGGAGGGCAGAGCCGGGAGGGGACAGAGGGCACAGCCUCGCGGGGGCACGCGGGCCAAGCGCACGGCCCCGCGGUAACGGCCCUCCCCCUCCGGCCCUCUCCCGCAGCCCCGCCGCACCGACGACCUUCGGGGCCCCGCCAGCGGCCCCCGCCGCCGUCUCCAGGGCCCAGGCCGCCAUAGGAGGAGCGAAAAGGCGGAGGGAGGGGAGGAAGGGGACCCACCACACCCCGCCGGGCCGGCCCCAUCCCCGCAGCCCUGCCCGAGCGCAGCCCGGCAACUUACGGCGUCUCCUCGGGCCGCCGCGCCCCGCGCCGCCCUCUGCAUGGGCAGCGCCCGCCGCAACCGCCCAGGGGACGGGGAACGCGGCGAGGCGGGAGAGAAAGGCUCGGAGACGGCGGCGGGAAGCUCGGCCGGGCCGCGGGGCUCGGGGAGGACGGCUGCGGCAACUCGUGCCCCGCGCCGGGCGGACUGACGGACGCUCAGCCGGGCCGCGCCGCUGCGGCGGCUCCGAGACGCGACUGACAACAACGGCCGCGGAUCGCGGAAAGCCGGGGGGGGGGCGGGGGCGGGGCCUACGGACACCCGCGCGAGCCCGAGAGGCGGGCGCACCGCGCCUGCGCGGAGGGGAGGCGGUGCGAUUGGCGUCACGGCGGCCCAAUGGGAGGAGGGCGGGCGCGUCGGGCGGGGAGAGGCCGCCUGAGGGGAAAGCGGAGCGGGGCGGUUCGGGGAGCGAGCGGCUCGGGGAACGUGGGGUUUCUUCCCUUCUUGCCCAUCUCGGGCUCUCGUUUCUUAACAUCAGCCCUGGAUAUGGCCAAAACAAGAAGGGAACGAGAUGA